GACGAACGCUGGCGGCGUGCUUAACACAUGCAAGUCGAGCGGUAAGGCCCUUUCGGGGGUACGACGAGCGGCGAACGGGUAGGAGUAACAACGUGGGUGGACCUCGCCCUCCAGCUCUGGGAGUAAAGCCUCGGGAAACCGGGGUACCGUAAUAACUGGAGUAUGACUCCAUGACGCAUGUUGUGGGGUGGGAAAGACCUUGUGCGGC
Molecule: ribosomal RNA, 208 nt
Filed under: uncultured bacterium
Lineage: Bacteria
Description: partial 16S ribosomal RNA
Rfam family: Bacterial small subunit ribosomal RNA
Source: RNAcentral